CAGGCGCAGUCUGAGCAGCACGCCGCGUGGGUGAAGAAGGCCUUCGGGAUCUGUAAAGCCCUGUCAGUUGGGAAGAAUGGCCAUGGGGGUUAAUACCCUUUUGGGAGUGACGUUACCACCAGAGAACGCACCGGCUAAUACCGUGCCAGCAGCCGCGAUAAUA
This 163-nucleotide ribosomal RNA is filed under the name uncultured sulfate-reducing bacterium. Its description in RNAcentral is "partial 16S ribosomal RNA". It matches the Rfam family "Bacterial small subunit ribosomal RNA", at positions 372 to 525 of the family's 1533-position model. The record is from RNAcentral.